AUUGUGCAAUAUACGUCAGUAUGACACAGAGAGCACACAUCACACUUAGCCUGUCAAAUUAAGUGCCAGCAGACGCGGUUAGACUUAAGGGCUAAGCCUUUAUAGGAAAAAAGGCGUAAAGGGUGUGUAGGCCGACAAUUCCCCCCCAAGGUGGUAAAUGGAAUUUUUCUGUAACGGUAGAAUGUGUGGAUAGAAAAUAGAACCCCAAAGGCAAAAGCAAUUUACCUCGGGGAACCCAAGCACAGGCUGAAACACGAGGGUGUGGGGAACAAACAGGAUUAGAGACCCUGGUAGUCCACACUGUAAACGAUGAAGAAAAUGUUAAUGCAACCCCGAAAGGUAGUAAUCUUCCGCCUGAGUAUUACGAUCGCAAGAUUAAAAUUCAAAAAAUUUGGCUGUUCACUGUUUCGAUUAGAGGAGCGUGUAGUUUAAUUCGAUAAACCGCGAGAUACCUUACCCAAACUUGAAUCACCCAUCCGAGAUUGAAUGGUCUCGGGAGGGUAGACCGGUAUUGCAUGGCCGUCGUCAGUUCGUGUAUGAAACCUUUAACGGACCUAACCCGGGGGGUUAGCCGCGGAUGAAGUCAGGUCUUAUGAUCCCUAUGUUUGGGGAUAAUAUGCGCUACAUUUUCUUAUACAAUGGGAAACCUGAAAGGUGAAACCCCAAAGUAGGAGUUCGGUAGGUCAUUGUAAGAUGACCGAAAGUUGAAUUUAAUAGUAAUCGGAAAGUAGAGCGUUCCGGUGAAAUGAUCUAAGUGUUAGCACAAAUCGCCCGUCACCUUAACUUAGAACGAUAGUACGGACGCAGCCCUGCCAGCUCGCAAUGUCGAGGCCCCCCCUCGAGGGG
RNAcentral lists this ribosomal RNA (846 nucleotides) under Epizoanthus rinbou. Its description in RNAcentral is "partial small subunit ribosomal RNA". It matches the Rfam family "Bacterial small subunit ribosomal RNA", at positions 363 to 1478 of the family's 1533-position model. The record is from RNAcentral. Lineage: Eukaryota; Metazoa; Cnidaria; Anthozoa; Zoantharia; Epizoanthidae.